AGCGAACGCUGGCGGCAGGCCUAACACAUGCAAGUCGAACGAACUCUUCGGAGUUAGUGGCGGACGGGUGAGUAACACGUGGGAACGUGCCUUUAGGUUCGGAAUAACUCAGGGAAACUUGCGCUAAUACCGAAUGUGCCCUUCGGGGGAAAGAUUUAUCGCCUUUAGAGCGGCCCGCGUCUGAUUAGCUAGUUGGUGAGGUAAAGGCUCACCAAGGCGACGAUCAGUAGCUGGCCUGAGAGGAUGAUCAGCCACAUUGGGACUGAGACACGGCCCAAACUCCUACGGGAGGCAGCAGUGGGGAAUCUUGCGCAAUGGGCGAAAGCCUGACGCAGCCAUGCCGCGUGAAUGAUGAAGGUCUUAGGAUUGUAAAAUUCUUUCACCGGGGACGAUAAUGACGGUACCCGGAGAAGAAGCCCCGGUUAACUUCGUG
This 433-nucleotide ribosomal RNA is filed under the name uncultured bacterium. Its description in RNAcentral is "partial 16S ribosomal RNA". It matches the Rfam family "Bacterial small subunit ribosomal RNA", at positions 29 to 507 of the family's 1533-position model. The record is from RNAcentral.